Molecule: ribosomal RNA, 467 nt
Filed under: uncultured bacterium
Lineage: Bacteria
Description: partial 16S ribosomal RNA
Rfam family: Bacterial small subunit ribosomal RNA
Source: RNAcentral
GACGAACGCUGGCGGCGUGCUUAACACAUGCAAGUCGAACGGAAAGGCCCUGCUUUUGUGGGGUGCUCGAGUGGCGAACGGGUGAGUAACACGUGAGUAACCUGCCCUUGACUUUGGGAUAACUUCAGGAAACUGGGGCUAAUACCGGAUAGGAGCUCCUGCUGCAUGGUGGGGGUUGGAAAGUUUCGGCGGUUGGGGAUGGACUCGCGGCUUAUCAGCUUGUUGGUGGGGUAGUGGCUUACCAAGGCUUUGACGGGUAGCCGGCCUGAGAGGGUGACCGGCCACAUUGGGACUGAGAUACGGCCCAGACGCCUACGGGAGGCAGCAGUGGGGAAUAUUGCACAAUGGGCGGAAGCCUGAUGCAGCAACGCCGCGUGCGGGAUGACGGCCUUCGGGUUGUAAACCGCUUUCGCCUGUGACGAAGCGUGAGCGACGGUAAUGGGUAAAGAAGCACCGGCUAACUACGU